This 253-nucleotide ribosomal RNA is filed under the name uncultured bacterium. RNAcentral describes it as "partial 16S ribosomal RNA". It matches the Rfam family "Bacterial small subunit ribosomal RNA", at positions 524 to 776 of the family's 1533-position model. The record is from RNAcentral.
UACGGAUGGUGCAAGCGUUAUCCGGAUUUACUGGGUUUAAAGGGUGUGUAGGCGGGCUGUUAAGUCAGCGGUGAAAUCUCCGGGCUCAACCCGGAAACUGCCAUUGAUACUAAUGGUCUUGAAUUUUGUUGAGGUAGGCGGAAUAAGUCAUGUAGCGGUGAAAUGCAUAGAUAUGACUUAGAACACCAAUUGCGAAGGCAGCUUGCUAAACAAAUAUUGACGCUGAGGCACGAAAGCGUGGGGAUCAAACAGG